This is a long non-coding RNA of Alligator sinensis (Chinese alligator), 804 nucleotides long. RefSeq lists it as uncharacterized. The transcript is spliced from 3 exons. The record is from RefSeq and is a predicted model, not a curated record. NCBI's taxonomy places the organism in Eukaryota, Metazoa, Chordata, Crocodylia, Alligatoridae.
ACAGUAGAAGCAGCUCCUUCUCCAAGGAAAGAGGCUGGAUCUGGGACUGUGAUUUUUGAGACUGAAACCCCCUCCUCACAAUGACCUUCGUGGGGUUACACGUUUAGGACCAGCUGUCCAUCUUGCACCUUGCAGAGGACCCUGCCGGUGGUCCAGCGUGAUGCACCGGUCCUCACUGCAUGGCAAAAUGAAGUGUCCCAACUCGAGUGUGCUGCACAUCUGGAGAGAAAGCAAGAGGCAGAGCAAGUGAGGGUGUGUUCAUGUUGUGAAGUGCUUCAGUCUUCACGGGCACAACGUCUAGGCGCUAAUACUGCAUCUCCUUCUCUCUGGACUCCCAGAUCCGUGCUUCAGAAACUCCCAUUAACCUCAACGAGCUCAAUCAAGCCACAACAGACCAUUGAAUAAAUAUGUACUUCUCCCUUACACACCCUUUCUCUCGAAGGGGAGCAAUCCCAAUAGCUUGCACCAGAAAUUCAGACAGUAAUUAUCUCUGUUAUUCACCGCAUAUUAAUCAGACUCAUUAUUUUAAAGCCGGGUCUGUCUUAUACAUUGUAAUGCACCAAACUGGAAGUUCACAUUGCACAGGAGAGACAGUUGUGGUAAUCCUUGUAAGUCUGUCCUUGCCCCCAUGGCAUUAGGGUUGUCUGAAUGAGUUAUAAUCACACACGUGAGUGCAAAAAUUGAUGUCCCCCCCAACGCAGAAUAAUCAAACUGGAGUUAGAUACAGUGCUUAAAGGGAUUUGUUCCCUGUCUCAUUGCUCCUCCCCGCUUCUCUGUCUAAUUAACUCUUCUAAUAGAAUUAAA